GCCCUAGUCCUACGGGAUGCAGCAGGGCGCGAAACCUUUACAAUGCGCGAAAGCGUGAUAGGGGAACUCUGAGUGGCAGCCGGCUUUUGCCGACUGUCUUUUGGCAAACUUAAAACGUUUGCAGAAUAAGUUCUGGGUAAGACCAGUGCCAGCCGCCAUGUGCUUAAUUGCACAUUGCACACGGUACGCGGUAAUACUGGCAGAACGAGUGGUGUCCACGAAUAUUGGGUCUAAAGAGACCGUAGCUGGUCUGUUAAGUCCACUGUGAAAUCUUGGGGCUCAACCUCAAGGCGUGCAGUGGAUACUGGCAGACUCGAGAGCGGGGGAGGUCAGGGGUACUUACGGGGUAUGGGUAAAAUCAGUUGAUCCUGUAAGGACCACCAGUGGCGAAGGCGCCUGACCAAAACGCGUCUGACAGUGAGGGUCGAAGGCUAGGAGAACGAAUCGGAUUAGAUACCCGAGUAGCCCUAGCAGUAAAUUAUGCAGACUGUGGUGUUGCUCAAGCUUCGGGCUUGGGCAGUGCUGUAGCGUAGGUGUUAAGUCUGCCACCUGGGGAGUACGGCCGCAAGGUUGAAACUUAA
RNAcentral lists this ribosomal RNA (581 nucleotides) under uncultured euryarchaeote. RNAcentral describes it as "bacterial SSU rRNA". It matches the Rfam family "Archaeal small subunit ribosomal RNA", at positions 314 to 859 of the family's 1478-position model. Lineage: Archaea; Methanobacteriati; Methanobacteriota. The record is from RNAcentral.